AUAAGAUUAGCUGAAUCCAAUCAAGUGAUGAAGGAAUCUAGGUGGGAGAUUAGGGAAUACAGCGACGCAACUCUGAUGAAAACAGGUGAAGAAAAUUACAAGCAAAUUAGAUAAGCAUUUAGCUCUCCUCGGGAGACUCAGUUUAUAGCCAAGUGGAUCCCAUUUGUAGGACGUGGGCUCAGCACACCCUGAAGGCUGACCGGUUGAAAAGGCUUAUCCUGCCCGUCAGGAAAGCAAGAACUCUCAAGUCGACAGUCUAGCUCCUGAGCUCAUAUGUGGACUUAAAUCUCUGGUUAAUGAGAAAGGCCGUUCAGUAAGAAGGUAGCUCCAAUGUACUGGGAAUUAUAAAACUGCUCCCUCAUCAGGCUUCUCUACAUUGGCCUUAGAAGUGACAAACCUUCAGAAAUAGCAGGCACCUACCCGUGGCCCAUCCAAACAAGAGUAAGCAAACUGCACCAUCUUGAAUCUUUCUCUCGUGAUCUUUAUGAGUUAAUACAGAUGUGAUCUAAGCAAGACAGAAUAAAAUAGACUUUGAAGAGUUUUUCUUAUCAUAAAAGGGCUCAUUCAGAUUUUUGCCAUAAUGAAUCAGAAACAUUCAUUAUGUAAAAAAUAAAGAUGGAUGCAAAACUCUGUAAAGAACUUUUAUGAAUGUCUACAAAUGGAUUCAGUAUUUAUCCAGAAACCAUUGGCAGAAUCUGAAGUUUUUCAUGAUCAGAAAAACAUAGUCAAAUACAUGUUGUCAUAAUUGCAGAUGCUCCAUUUAGGGUUAAAACUAGGUUGUUAAAGUUUAUAUUAAUUCUUUCUGCAGUCCUGACAAAUUCGAGAGUAAUUUGUAGAGACCGUGUUGUAUGAAAGAUAUUCAGGUUCCUAGAUCUAAGAACACCUGCGAGGAUUAUGAUAGCUGGAGAUUUCUUAAAUGAAAGCAAGAGUGAAUUUCUUUGUGUUGUUCCAGAAAAGAAAAUGAACGUGUCAUUGAAGGUAAAGUCUCCAGAAGAAUUCCUGGCACAAAUACUGAAAAUGUAAUUUUAGGGCUCUGCCUUGCCUCUGUUCUUAAGUGCUCCUCCUCUCGUAGGCACAUAGACCAGAGACACACACCUGUUGAAUGAUGCUAAUUUGCUGGCUGUGUUUACAGAAGAUGACCCUGCUCUCUUGGUUCCAACUAAUUGUACCAGGGGCCACAUGUCUCGGAUUCCCUUUCUCAAAAACCGAAAGAAGGAAAUUAUAGUCAGAUGGCUGGGGACAGUGGAACUGGCCACAAGAUCAGAGUUGGCUCAAUGGCAAGUCAGUGCUACUGGAGCCUGUCAGAUGAAUCCAGUCUAUAAAAAUAAGAAAGAAGCAGAUGUUCGGGGAGAAGAAGAGAGAUACAUGGGAAGCCCUUUCAUCAGCCCCUGGGACAGCACUGCCUGCCACAAUCGUUGAUCACUCCACGUCAGAAAAUUGAGAGCUGUGAGGCAGGGAGCGGGAGAGAGAAGCAAUGCCAGCUGCUAUGUGGGGAGUCCUUACUAUGUGCCUGGCCCAGGAGGAAAGAACCGGAUGGCUGAUUUCACUUUAUCUUUUCAACAACCCCGUAGAACAGAUACAACUAUUAGCCCCACUUUACAAGUUGAGAAAACCGAGACUUGCCCAUCAUCAGAGACCUAUUUUGGCAAAUCUGGCAUAUGUGGUCAUGCGUCAGGGUGGACUUUGUGGGGAGGCCUAUAUUUACCAGAGUGACUCUGAAAUUUACCUGCACUCCCAGUACCAUGCACAAACGUGGGCAGAAGUGAGACCGCAGAUCCAGACCCUUCCAGCGUGGGUGUAGACAGGAACCAGGAGCCUCAUGCACCCCAAGAUUGCAGUUACCUAAAUUCAUUUUGAAAAGAGGCGCCAAUUUUCUCCUCCCAUUGUGGCUGCCUCAGCGUGUGUUUGGCAAUUCUGAUUAAUUUCAUAUCUUAUAUUGGCUAGUUUUGUUCUAAUCCCUUUGUAGUGUGCUGGAGCCAGCUUGUAUGACUACUUGUUAAAUUUUCAGGAAAUUUGUGAGCCAGUUGUUGAGCACAGCAAUUAUUAAAAAUUAAGUUAUGUAAACUUGAAAUUAAACAAAUUGUAUUGAAAACAAAGGUAAUAAAUAUUCAAAUUCAUUUCCUCUAAUUACUGCAUUUUACUAUGAUCUAUGCCCUUGAGGUUAUUCAUUAUUUAUUGCCCUUGAGGUUAUUCUAUUAUGUCUGCAUAGGGAAAAAACUAUAAAGUGAUAUGCUACUGUGCUUAUCUUCCCAACUCGGCAUUCAGUGAUGUCACAUGUAGCUUGAAAUUGGCCACGGUCGGAAUCAGCAAACACUACAAGUCAGGACUUUUUUUCUAGGAGAGGAGGAUGGUGGUUAAACUUUUACCCGUACACCACUGAGUAGACAUCUUGUUUUUCAUUGUGUCAGUAUCUCUUACUUCCUAUCGUCUGAACUGCUUCCU
Equus caballus (horse) is the source of this 2442-nucleotide long non-coding RNA. The record is from Ensembl. NCBI's taxonomy places the organism in Eukaryota, Metazoa, Chordata, Mammalia, Perissodactyla, Equidae.